GAGCUCAAGUUUCUCUUCAUUGUCGCAUAAAUCUUUCGCCUUUUACUAAAGAUUCCCGUGGAGGGGAGCUUUUGCGAGUGAUUUAGG
This is a small nuclear RNA of 87 nucleotides. Its record names the gene U5. It matches the Rfam family "U5 spliceosomal RNA". Rfam says of the family: U5 RNA is a component of both types of known spliceosome. The precise function of this molecule is unknown, though it is known that the 5' loop is required for splice site selection and p220 binding, and that both the 3' stem-loop and the Sm site are important for Sm protein binding and cap methylation. The record is from Ensembl.